GAGCUAUAACGCUAUC
Molecule: ribosomal RNA, 16 nt
Filed under: Eimeria acervulina
Lineage: Eukaryota; Apicomplexa; Conoidasida; Eucoccidiorida; Eimeriidae
Also listed under: 13 other names
Description: large subunit ribosomal RNA
Source: RNAcentral